This 429-nucleotide ribosomal RNA is filed under the name Bacillota bacterium. RNAcentral describes it as "Firmicutes bacterium partial 16S ribosomal RNA". It matches the Rfam family "Bacterial small subunit ribosomal RNA", at positions 355 to 776 of the family's 1533-position model. Lineage: Bacteria; Bacillati; Bacillota. The record is from RNAcentral.
UAGGGAAUCUUCGGCAAUGGACGGAAGUCUGACCGAGCAACGCCGCGUGAGUGAAGAAGGUUUUCGGAUCGUAAAGCUCUGUUGUUAGAGAAGAACGUUGGUAGGAGUGGAAAAUCUACCAAGUGACGGUAACUAACCAGAAAGGGACGGCUAACUACGUGCCAGCAGCCGCGGUAAUACGUAGGUCCCGAGCGUUGUCCGGAUUUAUUGGGCGUAAAGCGAGCGCAGGCGGUUCUUUAAGUCUGAAGUUAAAGGCAGUGGCUUAACCAUUGUACGCUUUAAAAACUGGAGGACUUGAGUGCAGAAGGGGAAAGUGGAAUUCCAUGUGUAGCGGUGAAAUGCGUAAAUAUAUGGAGGAACACCGGUGGCGAAAGCGGCUCUCUGGUCUAUAACUGACGCUGAGGCUCGAAAGCGUGAGGAGCAAACAGG